UACGGGGGGGGUAAGCGUUGUUCGGAAUUACUGGGCGUAAAGCGUGCGCAGGCGGUUUUGUAAGCCAGAUGUGAAAUCCCCGGGCUCAACCUGGGAAUGGCAUUUGGGACUGCAAGGCUCGAGUGCGGCAGAGGAGACUGGAAUUCCUGGUGUAGCAGUGAAAUGCGUAGAUAUCAGGAGGAAUACCGAUGGCGAAGGCAGGUCUCUGGGCUGACACUGACGCUCAUGCACGAAAGCGUGGGGAGCAAACAGG
This 253-nucleotide ribosomal RNA is filed under the name uncultured bacterium. RNAcentral describes it as "partial 16S ribosomal RNA". It matches the Rfam family "Bacterial small subunit ribosomal RNA", at positions 524 to 776 of the family's 1533-position model. The record is from RNAcentral.